UACAGAGGGUGCAAGCGUUAAUCGGAAUUACUGGGCGUAAAGGGUGCGUAGGUGGUUUUAUAAGUUAGGUGUGAAAGCCCCGGGCUUAACCUGGGAAUUGCGCCUAAUACUGUUGAACUAGAGUACUGUAGAGGAAAGUGGAAUUUCCGGUGUAGCGGUGAAAUGCGUAGAUAUCGGAAGGAACACCAGUGGCGAAGGCGACUUUCUGGACAGAUACUGACACUGAGGCACGAAAGCGUGGGGAUCAAACAGG
Molecule: ribosomal RNA, 253 nt
Filed under: uncultured bacterium
Lineage: Bacteria
Description: partial 16S ribosomal RNA
Rfam family: Bacterial small subunit ribosomal RNA
Source: RNAcentral